AUUGAACGCUGGCGGCAUGCCUUACACAUGCAAGUCGAACGGCAGCAUGGAAGAGCUUGCUCUUCUGAUGGCGAGUGGCGAACGGGUGAGUAAAGCAUCGGAACGUACCGUGUAGUGGGGGAUAAAGUAGCGAAAGUUACGCUAAUACCGCAUACGCACUGAGGUGGAAAGCAGGGGAUCGCAAGAACUUGCGCGAUACGAGCGGCCGAUGUCAGAUUAGCUAGUUGGUAGGGUAACGGCCUACCAAGGGGACGAUCUGUAGCGGGUCUGAGAGGAUGAUCCGCCACACUGGGACUGAGACACGGCCCAGACUCCUACGGGAGGCAGCGGUGGGGAAUUUUGGACAAUGGGCGAGAGCCUGAUCCAGCCAUGCCGCGUGAGUGAAGAAGGCCUUCGGGUUGUAAAGCUCUUUCGGCUGGGAAGAAAUCGCACAGGCUAAUACUCUGUGUGGAUGACGGUACCAGCACAAGAAGCACCGGCUAACUACGUGCCAGCAGCCGCCGUAA
This 506-nucleotide ribosomal RNA is filed under the name uncultured bacterium. Its description in RNAcentral is "partial 16S ribosomal RNA". It matches the Rfam family "Bacterial small subunit ribosomal RNA", at positions 30 to 523 of the family's 1533-position model. The record is from RNAcentral.